Molecule: ribosomal RNA, 475 nt
Filed under: uncultured organism
Description: partial 16S ribosomal RNA
Rfam family: Bacterial small subunit ribosomal RNA
Source: RNAcentral
ACACUCCUGCGGGAGGCAGCAGUGGGGAAUAUUGCACAAUGGGCGCAAGCCUGAUGCAGCCAUGCCGCGUGUAUGAAGAAGGCCUUCGGGUUGUAAAGUACUUUCAGCGGGGAGGAAGGCGAUAAGGUUAAUAACCUUGUUGAUUGACGUUACCCGCAGAAGAAGCACCGGCUAACUCCGUGCCAGCAGCCGCGGUAAUACGGAGGGUGCAAGCGUUAAUCGGAAUUACUGGGCGUAAAGCGCACGCAGGCGGUCUGUCAAGUCGGAUGUGAAAUCCCCGGGCUCAACCUGGGAACUGCAUUCGAAACUGGCAGGCUAGAGUCUUGUAGAGGGGGGUAGAAUUCCAGGUGUAGCGGUGAAAUGCGUAGAGAUCUGGAGGAAUACCGGUGGCGAAGGCGGCCCCCUGGACAAAGACUGACGCUCAGGUGCGAAAGCGUGGGGAGCAAACAGGAUUAGAUACCCUAGUAGUCCCAUG